AUUGAACGCUGGCGGCAGGCCUAACACAUGCAAGUCGAGCGGAUGAAGGGAGCUUGCUCCUGGAUUCAGCGGCGGACGGGUGAGUAAUGCCUAGGAAUCUGCCUGGUAGUGGGGGAUAACGUCCGGAAACGGGCGCUAAUACCGCAUACGUCCUGAGGGAGAAAGUGGGGGAUCUUCGGACCUCACGCUAUCAGAUGAGCCUAGGUCGGAUUAGCUAGUUGGUGGGGUAAAGGCCUACCAAGGCGACGAUCCGUAACUGGUCUGAGAGGAUGAUCAGUCACACUGGAACUGAGACACGGUCCAGACGCCUACGGGAGGCAGCAGUGGGGAAUAUUGGACAAUGGGCGAAAGCCUGAUCCAGCCAUGCCGCGUGUGUGAAGAAGGGCUUCGGAUUGUAAAGCACAUUAAGUUGGGAGGAAGGGCAGUAAGUUAAUAACUUGCUGUUUUGACGUUACCAACAGAAUAAGCACCGGAUAACUUCGUG
Molecule: ribosomal RNA, 484 nt
Filed under: uncultured bacterium
Lineage: Bacteria
Description: partial 16S ribosomal RNA
Rfam family: Bacterial small subunit ribosomal RNA
Source: RNAcentral